This 644-nucleotide long non-coding RNA is filed under the name Homo sapiens (human). Its description in RNAcentral is "HSALNT0258752". The record is from RNAcentral. Lineage: Eukaryota; Metazoa; Chordata; Mammalia; Primates; Hominidae.
UGCCUUCCUUUUGUUCAUUGAUCCUCUCUGCUUACAUGUCUUUUCUAUUUUAGUCAACGGUGGAAGAAGAAUUGACUUCUUUCUAUAAGUGGUGCUGUGUUGAGGCAGAUGUAACUUUUCAAAGUUCUAUGGCUCAGCAAAUAGGAGGUGGCAUAGCCACACUUUACAACUGCACAGGCUGACAUCUGACAUCUCUGUGUUUUGAUGUAAAGGAUAGCAGCCAUGAGGAAGGGAAGCUCAAAGGAGGAAGGGAUGGGUGACCCUCCCUUGCCUUUUCCCUCUGUGCUCCUCUUCCAUCACUCUGAUUUGGUCGUACGCCAGACCACCCCCGAUGUGUGUUAGGGAAACAAAAUUAACAAAUUUGGUUGAAAAUAAUUAAAUGUCUCAUUUGUGUCUUUCUCUUUCAUUUAGACUUAAGAAAAUCAUCCCCACAUAUUCACACCUCGACCAAAGAGGAUGGGUAUGGUAUAGAGGCCCUUAUGUCUAGAAGAAAAAAAGGAAGAAAAAGCUCAUGGCUCCUUUGUGAUUAUUGGAAAUUUUAAGACUAGGAUGUCACAUAUUAUAUAGAAGUGUUUUCAUGCUCCAUGAAAAUUCAGAAAAGAUCAUUUUUUCAAGAAAAUACCUAGAUAAGGUCUAUUUGGAAA